RNAcentral lists this unclassified non-coding RNA (244 nucleotides) under uncultured fungus. RNAcentral describes it as "sequence contains ITS2". The stretch from base 1 to 52 matches the Rfam family "5.8S ribosomal RNA", at positions 103 to 154 of the family's 154-position model. The record is from RNAcentral. Lineage: Eukaryota; Fungi.
AACGCACAUUGCGCCCGCCAGUAUUCUGGCGGGCAUGCCUGUUCGAGCGUCAUUUCAACCCUCAAGCCUGGCUUGGUGUUGGGGCCUUGCGGCUACCGCAAGCCCUGAAAAGCAGUGGCAGGCUCGCUAUAACUCCGAGCGUAGUAACAUAUCUCGUUCUGGAAGGAUGGCGGGUGCCGGCCGUUAAAACUCCUACUUUUUUAAGGUUGACCUCGGAUCAGGUAGGAAUACCCGCUGAACUUAA